GAGAGAGAGAGAGAGAGAGAGAGAGCUAAGCCACCGCCAGCCAGCAGCCAGCCAGCCAGUUUGUGCCUGACUGGUACCUCGCUCGGUAACAGCUCUCGCGCUCCCUGCUCCUGUGCACUCGAGCCCUUGGGUAGCGCCGAGGCUUGGGCUGCCGUGAGGGGGCCUGCCGUGUCCCUACGUCCCUGUGUCCCUUCUUGCCUCACACUGUCCCCUUCCCCGCGUCCGUUGCCUUGCCGCUGCUUGGUGAUGUAACAAAAAGUGCAGUUUGGUGAAGAGUGAUAAGGAGGAGGAGGAGGAGGAGGAGGCCAGCACGGGGCGGGCCACGAGGCGCGUUGUGUGUGUGUGCACGAGUGUGUGUCUGUGUGUAUGUGUGCGGUGAUAACAGUGAUACGUGAUACGCUAUCUGGAGCCUUAUCCACCGUCCAUGGGGCUCAAGAGUUCCCGGAGUGGAGACAGGAGUGGAGUGUGUGCACUUUUAUGAUUUUCACUCCUUUCUCUUGUUCCUCGUGUGUUUCACCCGCUUAUUUCCCUCUUUCCCACCCUGCCUUUCUUCCCUCCCUCCCAUCCGUCGUCCCGGUCACCUGAAACAGUCCACCUGUGAUAGAUCGUGUGGAGACUUAAUGCCUGUCGCUUUUGUGGACGCCAUCUCUCGCUAGCAUACCUGUGUGCUGUGUCUUUCUUGCCCGCAACUCAUUAAGCCCAACACAGUCCGUGAGGAAAGACGAGGAAAACAAGACUUUCAACACCUCCAACAAUUCAGCACCACAACACCUGGCAGGCAGGGAGUGUUUAACUACUGCUGCGGCUCCCGGAGCGACACCUGGGGCAGUAAGGGCGAUGCAACGAACAAACACACACACACACACACACGGACAGCUGUGCGUGUGUGCGUGCGUGUGCGUGUGUGUACGGACUUAUGUAGACACACCCAUCCAUUCAGAAACGUAUUUGUGAGUAGAAAGGCAAGUAGAGAGAGAGAGAGAGAG
Molecule: long non-coding RNA, 986 nt
Organism: Scylla paramamosain (green mud crab)
Lineage: Eukaryota; Metazoa; Arthropoda; Malacostraca; Decapoda; Portunidae
Exons: 3
Source: RefSeq, a predicted model, not a curated record